Molecule: ribosomal RNA, 550 nt
Filed under: uncultured bacterium
Lineage: Bacteria
Description: bacterial SSU rRNA
Rfam family: Bacterial small subunit ribosomal RNA
Source: RNAcentral
UAGGGAAUCUUCGGCAAUGGGGGGAACCCUGACCGAGCAACGCCGCGUGAGUGAAGAAGGUUUUCGGAUCGUAAAGCUCUGUUGUUAAGGAAGAACGAGUGUGAGAAUGGAAAGUUCAUACUGUGACGGUACUUAACCAGAAAGGGACGGCUAACUACGUGCCAGCAGCCGCGGUAAUACGUAGGUCCCGAGCGUUGUCCGGAUUUAUUGGGCGUAAAGCGAGCGCAGGCGGUUAGAUAAGUCUGAAGUUAAAGGCAGUGGCUCAACCACUGUAGGCUUUGGAAACUGUUUAACUUGAGUGCAGAAGGGGAGAGUGGAAUUCCAUGUGUAGCGGUGAAAUGCGUAGAUAUAUGGAGGAACACCGGUGGCGAAAGCGGCUCUCUGGUCUGUAACUGACGCUGAGGCUCGAAAGCGUGGGGAGCGAACAGGAUUAGAUACCCUGGUAGUCCACGCCGUAAACGAUGAGUGCUAGGUGUUAGGUCCUUUCCGGGACUUAGUGCCGCAGCUAACGCAUUAAGCACUCCGCCUGGGGAGUACGACCGCAAGGUUG